AUGUAUCCAAUAGCCUGGGCUACUGUAGAGGUUGAGAACAAAGACUCUUGGUUCUGGUUUAUGGCUCUGCUAAACAAAGACUUGGAAAUUGAAAAUCAAGGAGAAGGGUGGGUCUUUAUAUCAGAUCAACAAAAAGGCCUCAUCAAUGCUGUGUCCAAGGUUGUUCCAAAUGCUGAGCAUAGGAAUUGUGAUAGGCAUAUCUAUGCUAAUUGGAAGAAAAAGCAUAGAGAUCAAGCAUAUCAGAAAAGAUUUUGGGCUUGUGCAAAAUCUUCAAACAGGAUACACUUCAACUUGAACAGGGCCAAACUUGCUCAACUCACACCAGAUGGAGCAAGAGACAUGAUGCAAUCAGGCCCAGAAACUUGGUGUAGAGCUUGGUUCAAAGAAGGUUCAUGUUGUGAUUCUAUGGAUAAUAACAUGUGUGAGAGUUUUAACAACUGGAUAGUAGAGUACAGAGGGUUGCCUAUUAUCAGCAUGUUUGAAGCAAUUAGAGCAAAGGUCACUGUAAGAAUUCAAGUAAACAGAGCAAUGCCUGCAAAAUGCAAUGGAACUAUUUGUCCUAAAAUUAUGAAAAAGGUCAACAAGCUGAUACAUCUUACUGAGAAGUGUGAGACAAUAUGGAAUGGAAAAGAUGGAUAUGAGGUGAAAUUAGGGCAGCAUGGUUUCAAAGUUGACAUGUAG
Molecule: ribosomal RNA, 681 nt
Filed under: Triticum aestivum (bread wheat)
Lineage: Eukaryota; Viridiplantae; Streptophyta; Magnoliopsida; Poales; Poaceae
Description: partial small subunit ribosomal RNA
Source: RNAcentral